ACACAGGACAAGAGCAGGAAGAAGGCAGCCCAAGGAUAACAAAAUGUCAGAGCUGACAGACCAGAGAUACCUGUCACACUUCUUGGAUUAACUUUUCCAGCUCAGUGGAUGGUACCACAGCUUUCCAGAACAAGGCAAAAGUGAGGAGACCUCCCUUCCUGUACCAGCUCCCACUUCCCAACAAUCUGACAGUCCUUACAGGACCUUCUAGGACCAGAUCCUUCUCACCAAGGCUCACUCCUUGGUCUCCACUACAUCUGAAGAGGUUACAAGGAAUUCUGGCAUAUUACCAUCCUUGGCCUAGGAGCCCACCAAAGGACAUGUGUGGACCAGCAUUUGCUUUCAGACUUGCUCCUGCUGGCCUCCUGCCACUGCCUGAUGUCAGUGCUACAAUGCUCUGUCAAUAGGGCAAGCCACGGCAGGGCAAGUCCCCUUCAGAAGGAGGCUAGAGAAGCAGAGUGGUCAGACGUCUGAGAAGAGCCGGUGUCAUGAACCUUUUCUGCCCUGCCUUCUAGGAAUCCUAGCCACCUUCUGGUGCAGCUUGCCCCAGACAUCCAGACAUGGAGAGCCUUUGGUCUGAACUGCUCUCCACCUCAGACAACAGGCCUUCUGGGCAACACAAGGCACUCUGUACAGCCCCAUUGGGAAGUCAGUGGCUUUUGCACCUUUGUGAGUUGAAUCCUGCCUGGGAAGACAAGAACACAGACUGAGCAACCCCAACCUGGAUAUCUGACAUUG
This 738-nucleotide long non-coding RNA is filed under the name Mus spretus (western wild mouse). Its description in RNAcentral is "RIKEN cDNA 4930439A04 gene (ENSMSPG00010028865.1)". The record is from RNAcentral. Lineage: Eukaryota; Metazoa; Chordata; Mammalia; Rodentia; Muridae.